RNA transcript from Papaver somniferum (opium poppy), 3317 nucleotides. It is a transcript of the gene named furostanol glycoside 26-O-beta-glucosidase-like, with no coding region annotated. The record is from RefSeq and is a predicted model, not a curated record. Lineage: Eukaryota; Viridiplantae; Streptophyta; Magnoliopsida; Ranunculales; Papaveraceae. The transcript has 11 exons.
CUCUCCAUCACCCAAACCAAAACUUAUCUUGUUCUCCACCUCUUUUUUACUUUCUUCUGAACAGAAAUCUUGGAAAUCAAAAUCUAUGUCCCUCUCCCUCAGCCAAAACUCGUGAACCAAUAUUAUCCUCAGCUAAACCUAGAUCUGUUAAAAUCAAAACUAUCUUUUGUAGACAUAAAUCAAACUCAAUUUGCUAUAAAUCAAAACCCAUCAGAAAUCAAACCUAAUUUUACUUACCAAAAUUUCAUUUUAAACAAACUCAAUUUUCUAUAAAUCAAAACCCGUCAGAAAUCAAACUUAAUUUCACUUACCCAAAUUUCGCUUUAAACCCUAAAUAUGUGAUUUUUGCUUAAAUGAAAUGCGUUUACCGGUGAAACCCUUAUUUCAUUGUAAUUGAUUUUGUGAGUCAAGUUUAUUUUGCAUAGUUGAAUACCAACCUCGAUGAAAACUCUCUGAUCUGAAAUUUUAUUUAUGUGAAUCUUAUUUUACAUCACGAAAAAUAUGAAGAAGAGUGAUGGCGAUAAAGAUUUGGUGGUGACGAUGGUGAAAUUUGGUGGCAAGACCAUAUAUGAACGCUGGUGAGGAAUGGUAGAGAUAAUGCAUAGAACUGUUGGUGUUUGGAGCAACAGAAGAUGAAAUGGGUUUUGCAGUUUUAGUCUGAAGUUGAAGUUACAGGUUCAGGAGAUGGAUUUGGUUACUGCUAAUGGGUGGAUGAGAUAUGUACUGAAAUGGCAGUUCAUGGUGGUGAUUGUUUCUUGAGGAAUUUGAGAUGGAGAUGGAACUGCUAGUGUUGAUGAGAUGGUUUGUUUUUGAAGCUGUAUGUGGAUAAGAUGCAGAGAGACAGUGGGUUAUAUUUUUGCUGAUGCUUAGAGCUUGUGCUGAUGUAGUGGAUGUAUGAGAUGAAGAUGGUUGAGCAGCAGAGAGGCCUUGAAAUGUGUUGUGCUUGAAUCUUGUUGUUAUCAACAGAAUGGACUGUCUUGGUGAUGUGUAAACAAGGAAGAAGAACAAAUCUGGUGUUGAAGUUGAAUGAAUGGGUUGAGCUGAUGUUGAGGAAUGAGCUGAAUUGUAGAUGGUUGGUGGUUUGGUAUUGCAGGAAUGGAGUUGUGUGGUUCAAUGGCCUUGUACUUCGCAGAAGCAAUUUCAGGAGCUGGAUGCUAGGGUCAGGAAGCUACAUCAAGUGUAGAUGAUGUUUCUGAACAAGAAAUUGUCAUGGACUUUAGAACUCAGGUUAUUAGCAUCGUGACCUGAUAAAUUUACCACUACACUAAGGUGACAUCCGCAACUUUGUGAAAUUUUCGUUGCAGGUGAUCGAGCCGUUUGUAACGUUGCUCCAUUUCGACUUACCCACUGCUCUGCAAACUCAAUACAGAGGAUUCCUCGAUAAAAAAAUAGUGUACAUAUAUAUAUAUAACCUCGCUCAAAUCGUUGAUCUUUUGUUUUGUUUAGAAUCACAUUUUAUAGUCGAAGAACCUCAACUGAUAGUUUUAUGAAUUUAUCAUAGGGAUGAUUUCAGAGACUUUGCAGAUCUUUGUUUCAAGAACUUCGGAGAUGAAGUUAAACAUUGGACAACAAUUAAUGAGCCACAACUCUUUGCAAUGUAUGGUUACCGUGUUAGUCUUUCUCCGACUGGUGAUAAAGUCAACGAUCCAUAUGAUGCUGCCCAUAACAUCAUCUUAUCCCAUGCUGCAGCUGCUAAACUCUAUAAACAAAUAUAUCAGGCUGCACAAGAAGGAGAAAUUGGUAUUUCUAUCGUGGGUCAAUGGUUUGUGUCGCACUCGGACUCACCCCGUGAUAAAGAAGCAGCAGAAAGGGCUAAUGGCUUCAUGGUUGGAUGGUUCAUGGAACCAUUGGUCUAUGGAGAUUACCCUUUUAUAAUGAGAGCAUUAGUGAGGGAUAAUCUUUCCAUGUUUACAGACAAAGAGAAAGAAAUGGUGAAGGGUUCUUAUGAUUUUAUUGGUGUAAAUUAUUACACUGCUAGAUACGCCAAAGACAUUCCUUUUACCAGUGAGCAUAAGUUCACCUCCACAGACAAAUACCAGUUUGUAGCACAGAAAGAGGAAAAAAAUGGAGUUCCUAUAUAUGCCCAUUGUCUCCUACUGGUGGUCCGGAGAGCAUUUACAUUUAUCCGGUGGGACUAAGAGACGUCCUGGUUUAUAUGAAAGAAAGAUAUGAAAAUCCUAAGUUCUACGUUACUGAGAACGGCUGAUGGUUAUCAAAGAACAGGUUGCUUCAAUUUUCUUUGCCAGGGUUUCAUACAAGUGCUCUCUAGUAUAUCAUUUGGUGAUCCAUUAGAUCCAAUAAAUUUAUUGAUGCGUGUUAAAGUAUAUCGUGAACAAAAAAGUGUUAAUCGGUGGUUAUCCAUUGACCGCGAAAUGAUAGGGUACUGGCCAAAUGAGCUCUUUACUCAUCUAGCACAUGAUGCUUCUGUUGUCAGAUACGGCGGAAUAGCGGGGGCAGUAUUCAGAAGCCCAAGUGAUCCAAUGGGAAAUGGAAAUUUACCAUCGUUUAGUAUCCAACAGUCUGGAUGGAUGAAGGAAAUGAAGGUCUACAACGAAUCAGGAUUCCACGUUUUCUUUGAUUUUUAUUUAUAAAGUAUACAAGAAACAAUAUACACCAGCGGAUUGUUUUAACCUUAAUAGAUCUUACCUCUGUUUCUUUAUUAGUGCCCUCCGCUGAAGGUCAAUCACUUGCUGACGAGUAUUCCAGAAGUGCUCAAUACCUUGCGUAUUUUGGUGGAAAAGUUGGGUUACGGUAUGCUGAGAGUUGUGCUCGUGGUGGGAUCUGCUACUUAAACAGCAGCAUGGUAAGUUGGUUGACAAAGAAAAUCGGCCAACGGAGGGUCCUGUCAUUAUAGGUGUAACUUCAGGUGCUUCUACCCAAGAUAAAAAAAGAUGCUGCGAAGCUGGUAAUUUAUGGAUGGAUUGGUCAAUUACAUCAUGUCAUUGUGCCUAGAUGCAGCAAAAGAAUCGAGGUACCUUGUAGAUGCUAGUUGAAACUUGGGAAAGUCCUGUAGUGUGCCAACAUACACACUCCCACUAUUUUCUUGUUGCUCUAAUCCUUAAAGCUAGGACUAAGCUAGUAUUUGGAGUAACAACUGGAAACAAUAGCUUCAUAGCAAUAUAUUUCUUAUGUUCGAAAUGGAAUUUCAUUGCAUUUUUUUCAAACUUAGUUUAUCUUGUUGUAAGGAUUAGUGAUGAUCUGAUAAAAUUGGGUCUUUUAGUUGAUCAACAAAGGUAUAUGAAGGUGCAGAAAUCCGCCGGAACUGUCGUCGGAAUUUAUUUAUUUUUUAUUCGGAAUUAUCAUCGGAUUUUAUUUUA